Molecule: ribosomal RNA, 76 nt
Filed under: Pseudoselenomonas ruminantium
Lineage: Bacteria; Bacillati; Bacillota; Negativicutes; Selenomonadales; Selenomonadaceae
Description: Selenomonas ruminantium (feces metagenome) partial 23S ribosomal RNA
Source: RNAcentral
AAGGUAGAUAGGUUGGGAGUGGAAGUGCCGUAAGGCAUGCAGCGGACCAAUACUAAUAAAUCGAGGGCUUAACUUA